AUAAAUGGAAAAUCACUCCCAAGUUUUAGAGCCGAGACGCUGCUUGCGCACUUACCCUAAUCCCCAAUAAUGAGCAGACCAACGUCGACGAUUGAAAUUCCCGAUCGCCGGUAUCGUCCAGAACGCCAAAGCGAGCGUUAUACACCUGAAUCCGACACCUCCGCUGACUACUACCGCCAGCGGGACCGCCGAAGUCCCUCCUACCAUAGCUACGAUGAGCUUCACCGAGGAACCGGUCGCGGCCGCUACCGCUCAAGCUCACCUGAGUAUUCAAGCCCUGGAAGAAGAAGCCCAAGCCCUAGGCCCAGGAAAAACCUAGAUUCUCCGCCAAAAAAGUUCGGCAGGGGGCGGGCAUACCUCGAUCGCGGCGGCUCUCGUAAUGGAAGGAACUCGGAAUCAGAAUCCGAUGAGGAGUUGAAGGGUUUGAGCUUUGAAGAGCGGAGGAGGCUGAAGAGGCAGAAGAUGAGGAAGAACAUCGCGAAAUAUUGUAUUUGGACGCUUACCCCUAGUCCACCCAGGGAUGAGAACGAAGAAGAAGAUUUGGAAGGCAAACCAGAUGAGAUUUCGGAGAAGUAUGGGGAAGACGAAGAGAAGAUUGACUUUAGCGAGAAAGAGAAAGGAAAAGCGCGUGAUGGAAAGGGUGUAUCAGAAUCUGAGUCUGGGAAAUCUGUGAGCAACGAUUCAGAAUCCGAGUCUGUGUCUGAGUCUGAAUCUGAAUCAAAUGAUUCUGGGUCAAGGAAGAAGAGGAGAUCGAGUUCUAAGCGCAGGGGCAGGAAAUCAUCUAUGGAUAGCGAAUCAGAUGAGGAUGAGAGUGAGAGUGGGAAUGAAACUGAAUCGGAUUCUGAAGAGGAUCGAAGACGCAGAAAGAAGUCACGGAAAAGCAGCAGCAGCAGCAGUAGAAGGGAGAGCAGCAAGAGAAGUAGCAGAAAAAGAAAAAGUCGGAGGAAAAGUAGGUACAGUGAUUCUGAUGAUAGUGGGAGUGAAGAAUCCGAAUACGAGUCUAAGAAGAGAAGGCGCAUUUCAGGGUCUAAACGCAGCAGGAAAAAGAGGUCUGAAACAGAGAGUGCCAGUUCAUACUCAGAUAAGAGUUCAGAUGCUGAUAUAGAUGCAAAGGGAAAAUCAAAGCCAGAUGAGAUGAAGACUGAAAUUAAUGCUGAUGCUCUUAUAUUAAAAGAGAUGAUCGAGGCACAGAAGAAGCCUGCUCUGGAUAAUGAACCUACGGUUGGGCCAAUGCCCCUACCCAGAGCUGAGGGGCAUAUAAAUUAUGGUGGUGCAUUGAGGCCAGGUGAAGGCGAUGCUAUUGCACAGUAUGUGCAGCAAGGAAAGCGUAUUCCACGUAGAGGUGAAGUGGGUCUUUCUGCUGAAGAAAUUCAAAAAUUUGAGAGCCUCGGAUAUGUGAUGAGUGGUAGCAGGCACCAGAGGAUGAAUGCCAUUCGUAUUAGGAAAGAAAACCAGGUCUACAGUGCUGAGGACAAGCGAGCUUUGGCUAUGUUUAACUAUGAAGAGAAGGCAAAACGUGAGCACAAGGUUAUGGCUGAUUUACAGAGGCUGGUGCAGCGCCAUAUUGGGCAGGACGUUGGUCCCACUCAUGAUCCUUUUGCAGCAAAAGCUUCUGAUGGUGUUGAUGCUUGAUAGUGAGGUGCGCUCGUCAAUAUUUGUGUAGUGACUUCCUUAUGCCAUUGAUUGUGGAUCUUUGUACUUGAAUUGAUGUUUAGUGGAAUUACAUAUACCUGUUUUGUCCACGAUUAUUUUCUGAAUUACUUCUUUGGCUUCAUAUUUUUGAGUGCAUUUAUACUAGCCUGGCAUGUUAGAUUUUGACGAGUCUAAAGGAUGAAUAAGUUUAGUUCUUUGAUGCCUUAUUUGUAAAAUCAAACUACACUUUCAGUCAGCUAUAGCAAAAGCAAGUUAGUCAGUUGUCUCAAAAGCAUACGGACAGGAAUAGUAUUCACUUCUUGUGAAAUUUGUAUAACUGUAGUUUGGAUGCUGCAUUGAAAGAUUGCUUAACUGCUUAAGUAGUCUUUUGUUUACCAGUGUGCGAUCCUGUCUUGUAUUGAACCCUUCUUGUGUAAUUUGCAAUUUCCCCCCCAUAGAAGUGUAUAUCUAAUUGUUGCUAUGGAUGUGUAUCUGUGUGGUUGGUACCGUUCUUGUGGUCUAUGAUGGGGCUUUGGUUAUGAAUGCUGUUAGUUCGAUCAUGAUUGAGUGACAUCAACUCUUUCCUCCAUGUCUUUCUGGUAAACAAGCUGACAAUGACAUGCAUAGUGAAGCAAAAAAGUUUUGAUGACUAGAGUCUGAUGCUACGUAGCACGGAAAGGGAAACGUGGACACGGGUAAACGCGGAAACGGAUACUGGGAAACUGCAUUUUAAAAAAUAUAGGAAAUGGAAACGUGGGGAAACGCGUAAAUAUAAAAAAUAUAGGGAUAUAUUUAUAAAUAAAUAACAUAUAUACAUAUAUAUGUGUGUAUAUUUAUGGAUUUAAAAGUCCUAGUUAUAAUAAAUUUAAAUAUUAAAAAAAUGAAAUUAAUUACUUGAUUAAUUAAUUAGAUUAUUUAUAUAUUUAUAAUUAUAAAUAAUUGAAAUAAUAAAUAUAUAGAAUAAUAAAAUUAAUAUUAAAAUACUGAAAAUAAAGGUUGAAAGUUUUAAUACAGUGAAAAUUGAAUAAAAAAAGUAAUAAUGAUUAAAAAAAAUUUUCAAAUAGGAAAUAACGUGGGUAUUAGGAUUCAGGGAAGGAGCAGAGCCAUCGAAGAAGGAGCAGCGCCAUCGGGGAAGGGAGGCUGAUUGGCAAAGCAUCGGAUGGGGAAGGAAGCAGAGACCAGUCACCUCCCAUUGCCGGCACGCUGCCCCACCAGGUAUUCUACCUGGAGACAUACCAAGCAAGUGAAAACUGGAAUUUCACCACUCUGGAUUUAUGUUCUUGGGCUUGUCACACAUCUGGCUGGAGAUACUGAGAGUACAAGUUCUUAUAAUUUUAAUAGAGAAGAGUAGUAGGAUAAAGAUGUUUCAAAAGAAUGAUAAAGCAGCAAAAGAAGAUGAAGUAUUAAGAAAGGGGAAACAUGCAGUAAAGGAGGUUUAUUGUCCUCAGUAUGCAUGCUCAAAUUCAUGUAAAUGUUAAAACUAGUUUGGCAACUGCUCAUGCAAGAUGAACCUCUCCCUGCAGCUGGAUAAAACUCUUUCAUUGGAGCAGUGGACUGGACUGAGUAGUUAUUGAUUUCAUGGGGUUGUGCUUGACCCUACAGUUCCCAUUGUACAUGAACCUCUGGCACCUCUUAUUGUGCAAUGCCUGUUUAUUGUGGUAAUUAAAGGUGGAUUGUUAUGUGAUUUUAAGUUGUAUUUAAUAUAUCACUGCUUAUGUAAUUUUCAGAUUAGAAAAGCGUGUUUUAAAGGAA
Molecule: RNA transcript, 3384 nt
Organism: Hevea brasiliensis (rubber tree)
Lineage: Eukaryota; Viridiplantae; Streptophyta; Magnoliopsida; Malpighiales; Euphorbiaceae
Exons: 2
Source: RefSeq, a predicted model, not a curated record